This is a long non-coding RNA of Symphalangus syndactylus (siamang), 562 nucleotides long. RefSeq lists it as uncharacterized. The record is from RefSeq and is a predicted model, not a curated record. NCBI's taxonomy places the organism in Eukaryota, Metazoa, Chordata, Mammalia, Primates, Hylobatidae.
AGCAGCAAAGCAAACAUACCAACUAUCUUUUAAGAAAGUCAGCUAAAUGCUACUACAGGCCACUUACACUUAUAUCUCAUUACCAGGAUCUAGUUUCAUGACCAGCCAAAUUUAACUGCAAGGGUGUUUAGAGAAUGUAGAUUUCAUUCUGGAUAGUCAUAUACUGACCCAAAUAUUCUGGAAGUUAGCAAUGAUAUGAAGAAGGAUUCAACUUGCAGUUAUCAGAAUGCUGUUGUAAUUUGAUGAACAAGCAGUUUGCAUGAUGGAAGCCAUAUUUUCAGUGCAUCAUUCUAAAGCAGUAUGAAGCAGGAAAUGGAGGGCGAAGAAAGAAAGGCUAUGGAGGCAAAGAAUAACAAAGCCUGAUGUGGAAAUGGUCAAAAGUUAAAAGAAUAUAAAUUUCACAUUAACUGGUACUACCAGAAAAGGGUGGAGAUUCUACCCCUUUGGAUUUUUAGACCCCAAAGAUGCAAGAGCUGAACAGCAACUUCCUGAGGCUAUUUUAUCAUUGUGUUUGGAAACAUUAUGACCACUGAUAUUCCAUGAGAUAAUGUGUCAUCUGACA